This 608-nucleotide ribosomal RNA is filed under the name uncultured bacterium. RNAcentral's name for it is "bacterial SSU rRNA". It matches the Rfam family "Bacterial small subunit ribosomal RNA", at positions 31 to 687 of the family's 1533-position model. The record is from RNAcentral.
GAACGCUGGCGGCAGCUUACACAUGCGAGUCGAGCGCCGUAGCAAUACGGAGCGGCAGACGGGAGAGUAACACGUGGGAACGUACCUUUCGGUUCGGAAUAACCCAGGGAAACUUGGACUAAUACCGAAUACGUCCGUAAGGAGAAAGAUUUAUCGCCGAAAGAUCGGCCCGCGUCCGAUUAGCUUGUUGGUGGGGUAAUGGCUCACCAAGGCGACGAUCGGUAGCUGGUCUGAGAGGAUGAUCAGCCUCACUGGGACUGAGACACGGCCCAGACUCCUACGGGAGGCAGCAGUGGGGAAUAUUGGACAAUGGGCGCAAGCCUGAUCCAGCCAUGCCGCGUGGGUGAUGAAGGCCUUAGGGUUGUAAAGCCCUUUCGGCGGGGAAGAUAAUGACGGUACCCGCAGAAGAAGCCCCGGCAAACUUCGUGCCAGCAGCCGCGGUAAUACGAAGGGGGCUAGCGUUGCUCGGAAUCACUGGGCGUAAAGCGCACGUAGGCGGGUCUUUAAGUCAGGGGUGAAAUCCUGGAGCUCAACUCCAGAACUGCCUUUGAUACUGGAGACCUGGAGUUCGGGAGAGGUGAGUGGAACUGCGAGUGUANAGGUGAAAU